This is a regulatory RNA element of 104 nucleotides. It matches the Rfam family "mraW RNA". The record is from Rfam.
CAUCAGGUGUGCGCCGAGGUCUCCCCCCGCUCCAUACCGGACACCACUUCCCCGGUGUCCGGUGGCGUGAGCGGGGCGGGACCUGGGCACACGCCGGGCCCUCG